GUGAAGGAUAACGUUGCGUCAGCAACGGCCCGAAGGGCGAGGCGAAGCCGAGUCAUCCUGCACGACCCACCA
This 72-nucleotide small RNA is filed under the name Salmonella enterica. RNAcentral describes it as "partial RtT sRNA". It matches the Rfam family "RtT RNA", at positions 55 to 130 of the family's 130-position model. Rfam says of the family: This family represents a bacterial cis-regulatory element known as RtT RNA. The exact function of RtT is unknown although it is thought that it may be involved in changing the cellular response in relation to amino acid starvation. The record is from RNAcentral. Lineage: Bacteria; Pseudomonadati; Pseudomonadota; Gammaproteobacteria; Enterobacterales; Enterobacteriaceae. RNAcentral also lists the same sequence under 4 other names.